RNAcentral lists this long non-coding RNA (662 nucleotides) under Rattus norvegicus (Norway rat). RNAcentral's name for it is "long non-coding RNA NONRATT031518". Lineage: Eukaryota; Metazoa; Chordata; Mammalia; Rodentia; Muridae. The record is from RNAcentral.
AAGCUAUGGCUCACAAUGGGUUACAGCAAUCACAGAAGACCAUCUUGCCCUGAGGUUGGCAACCCCUGAGAGAGAAAUGGGACUUGCCUUCUGAAACAGAGCAGGAUAAACUCAGCUGUGGCUGUUUGGAAAGUUUGGGAGCCAUCCAGUGCGCACCAUGCAGCUCUGACAGAAGACUCAUUUCUCCUCCAAGUAUCCUUUUGUUUCUGCCUACUGGGAGGCCACAAGCGCAGAGUCAGGAUGAACCUGUGGCUCUAACUGGACCUCGCCCUGUGUUGCAAGUGCUUCCCGUGACCUACAGAAAGGAGGCUUGGUCGCUGCACGUAUGUUGUCUCACCUCCUUGUAGGGGGCCUUAAAGGUGGUCUGUGACGGAAAUGCCAUUCCAAGAUGAUCAAGGAAGCACAGAAACAGAGGACUUCCUCCCCGUGUAUAUGAACUCAAGGGCUGAGGCCCCUCCAGGCUGCAGCCCCUCUGGAUGCCUGUAUCCCAAUCCUCACUGCCUUGCCCGAACCUUCUGAGAGUAUUGAUUGACAGCUGAAGAGGUGUUCAUCUGGGCUGAAGUCAAGUUGAUGAAAGCUGCAGUUUAGAUUGUAGGCUGGGAGUAGGGUUCUGCAUAAAAACAAUAAGAAACAAAAAAAUGGAUUAAAGGACAUGGUGGUUU